GGCCGCGGUAACAAUAAACGCAUUUGUGCUGCAGUGCAUAGGUAAAUAAUAGAAGAGUGUCGACGAAUCGCCUUAACUGUGGAAAUCACAGGCACUCUCAGGAAUAUCUUCAAACGGCUAACUUUCAAUAGCCCUUUGCGUUUGUGGUUACGAAGGAGCCUUUGUGGACGUACAAUGUUACCGGAAGAAGACAUGCGCAGUACAAAGUAGACGUUAUAAUAAAUGAGACAGACACAUCUAUUUUCUUCAAAAGACUUUUUACUACGGCGCGCCGAAGAAAAAGUUUUUUAUGGUCCUCGAGGGACAGUUCAAUGCAAUUUACCCAGAACAUAUGCUUAUCCAGCGCAAUGGGUCAAAAAUUUACCAAUUGGAACAGACUCUCUACAUGUCUCCAAACUCUUCUUACGCAGUUGUCAUGAUCACACUGAUCAAUUUUCGUGGUCCUAAAUGUAUGUUUUUUUUUGUGUUGUGCAAAAGAAUGCAUUAGUAUUCACGGUGACUACAGCACUACGUACCGGUAUGUUAUACUAUGCACAGAAUGUUGCUACUUUCCCUUUUCUCGAGUCCAGCUCAAAGCUGGACCGUGCCCGAGAAAAAUGCAGUGAAUUGUUGCGA
Non-coding RNA from Dermacentor albipictus, 615 nucleotides. The record is from RefSeq and is a predicted model, not a curated record. NCBI's taxonomy places the organism in Eukaryota, Metazoa, Arthropoda, Arachnida, Ixodida, Ixodidae.